This 600-nucleotide ribosomal RNA is filed under the name Sulfitobacter sp. RNAcentral's name for it is "bacterial SSU rRNA". It matches the Rfam family "Bacterial small subunit ribosomal RNA", at positions 100 to 735 of the family's 1533-position model. The record is from RNAcentral. Lineage: Bacteria; Pseudomonadati; Pseudomonadota; Alphaproteobacteria; Rhodobacterales; Roseobacteraceae.
GGACGGGUUAGUAACGCGUGGGAACGUACCCUUUUCUACGGAAUAGCCUCGGGAAACUGAGAGUAAUACCGUAUAAGCCCUUCGGGGGAAAGAUUUAUCGGUAAAGGAUCGGCCCGCGUUAGAUUAGAUAGUUGGUGGGGUAAUGGCCUACCAAGUCUACGAUCUAUAGCUGGUUUUAGAGGAUGAUCAGCAACACUGGGACUGAGACACGGCCCAGACUCCUACGGGAGGCAGCAGUGGGGAAUCUUAGACAAUGGGCGCAAGCCUGAUCUAGCCAUGCCGCGUGUGUGAUGAAGGCCUUAGGGUCGUAAAGCACUUUCGCCAGGGAUGAUAAUGACAGUACCUGGUAAAGAAACCCCGGCUAACUCCGUGCCAGCAGCCGCGGUAAUACGGAGGGGGUUAGCGUUGUUCGGAAUUACUGGGCGUAAAGCGUACGUAGGCGGAUCAGAAAGUAGGGGGUGAAAUCCCGAGGCUCAACCUCGGAACUGCCUCCUAAACUCCUGGUCUUGAGUUCGAGAGAGGUGAGUGGAAUUCCAAGUGUAGAGGUGAAAUUCGUAGAUAUUUGGAGGAACACCAGUGGCGAAGGCGGCUCACUGGCUC